UACGUAGGUGGCAAGCGUUGUCCGGAUUUACUGGGCGUAAAGAGCGCGCAGGCGGUCGUUCAAGUCGCGUGUGAAAGCCCCCGGCUCAACUGGGGAGGGUCACGCGAUACUGAUCGACUCGAAGGCAGGAGAGGGUAGUGGAAUUCCCGGUGUAGUGGUGAAAUGCGUAGAUAUCGGGAGGAACACCAGUGGCGAAGGCGACUACCUGGCCUGUUCUUGACGCUGAGGCGCGAAAGCUAGGGGAUCAAACGGG
Molecule: ribosomal RNA, 253 nt
Filed under: uncultured bacterium
Lineage: Bacteria
Description: partial 16S ribosomal RNA
Rfam family: Bacterial small subunit ribosomal RNA
Source: RNAcentral